ACAUGCAAGUCGAGGGGCAGCAUGGUCUUAGCUUGCUAAGGCCGAUGGCGACCGGCGCACGGGUGAGUAACACGUAUCCAACCUGCCGUCUACUCUUGGACAGCCUUCUGAAAGGAAGAUUAAUACAAGAUGGCAUCAUGAGUCCGCAUGUUCACAUGAUUAAAGGUAUUCCGGUAGACGAUGGGGAUGCGUUCCAUUAGAUAGUAGGCGGGGUAACGGCCCACCUAGUCUUCGAUGGAUAGGGGUUCUGAGAGGAAGGUCCCCCACAUUGGAACUGAGACACGGUCCAAACUCCUACGGGAGGCAGCAGUGAGGAAUAUUGGUCAAUGGGCGCAGGCCUGAACCAGCCAAGUAGCGUGAAGGAUGACUGCCCUAUGGGUUGUAAACUUCUUUUAUAA
RNAcentral lists this ribosomal RNA (398 nucleotides) under uncultured bacterium. Its description in RNAcentral is "bacterial SSU rRNA". It matches the Rfam family "Bacterial small subunit ribosomal RNA", at positions 53 to 441 of the family's 1533-position model. The record is from RNAcentral.